CAGCCGCCGCGGUAACACGAACCGUGCGAACGUUAUUCGGAAUUACUGGGCUUAAAGCGCGUGUAGGCGGGCCGCCACGUCGGUUGCUGAAAUCCCCCGGCUCAACCGGGGAAGUGGCAUCGAUACGAGCGGCCUUGAGGGGGGUAGGGGGAUCUGGAACUUCCGGUGGAGCGGUGAAAUGCGUUGAGAUCGGAAGGAACGCCCGUGGCGAAAGCGAGGUCCUGGACCCUUUCUGACGCUGAGACGCGAAAGCCAGGGGAGCGAACGGGAUUAGAUACCCGUGUAGUCCCUGUCUCUUAUA
RNAcentral lists this ribosomal RNA (301 nucleotides) under uncultured bacterium. Its description in RNAcentral is "partial 16S ribosomal RNA". It matches the Rfam family "Bacterial small subunit ribosomal RNA", at positions 509 to 807 of the family's 1533-position model. The record is from RNAcentral.